UACGGGGGGGAGCAAGCGUUGUUCGGAUUUACUGGGCGUAAAGGGCGCGUAGGCGGCGUAACAAGUCACUUGUGAAAUCUCCGGGCUUAACCCGGAGCGGCCAAGUGAUACUGUUGUGCUAGAGUGCGGAAGGGGCUACUGGAAUUCUCGGUGUAGCGGUGAAAUGCGUAGAUAUCGAGAGGAACACCUGCGGCGAAGGCGGGUAGCUGGGCCGACACUGACGCUGAGACGCGAAAGCGUGGGGAGCGAACAGG
This 254-nucleotide ribosomal RNA is filed under the name uncultured bacterium. Its description in RNAcentral is "partial 16S ribosomal RNA". It matches the Rfam family "Bacterial small subunit ribosomal RNA", at positions 524 to 776 of the family's 1533-position model. The record is from RNAcentral.